GACGAACGCUGGCGGCGUGGAUUAGGCAUGCAAGUCGAACGGUAUCAUCCUUUCGGGGGUGAGAGAGUGGCGAACUGGUGAGUAACACGUAGGUUAUCUACCCUCAAGACGGGGACAACCCAGGGAAACUUGGGCUAAUACCGGAUGUGAGCAACUUUUAGUUGUUUGAAAGGUGGCGUAAGCUGUCGCUUGGGGAUGAGCCUGCGUCCUAUUAGUUAGUUGGUGAGGUAACGGCUCACCUAGGCAAUGAUAGGUAGGCGGCCUUAACGGGUGGUCGCCCACACUGGGAUUGAGAUACGGCCCAGACUCCUACGGGAGGCAGCAGUCGAGAAUAGUCUACAAUGGUCGGAAGACUGAUAGUGCGACGCCGCGUGAACGAUGAAUCCCUUCGGGGUGUAAAGUUCUUUUAUAUGUGAGCAGUGCUUCUUAUAUUAACAGUAUGGGGAGAGAGAUAUUAGCAUAUGAAUAAGCAACGGCUAACUCCGUGCCAGCAGCCGCGGUAAAGU
Molecule: ribosomal RNA, 506 nt
Filed under: uncultured bacterium
Lineage: Bacteria
Description: bacterial SSU rRNA
Rfam family: Bacterial small subunit ribosomal RNA
Source: RNAcentral